This 253-nucleotide ribosomal RNA is filed under the name uncultured bacterium. RNAcentral's name for it is "partial 16S ribosomal RNA". It matches the Rfam family "Bacterial small subunit ribosomal RNA", at positions 524 to 776 of the family's 1533-position model. The record is from RNAcentral.
UACGGAGGGUGCGAGCGUUAAUCGGAAUUACUGGGCGUAAAGCGCACGUAGGCGGUCGGGUAAGUCGGAUGUGAAAGCCCUGGGCUUAACCUGGGAACUGCAUUCGAUACUGCCCGGCUAGAGUAUGGGAGAGGGAAGCGGAAUUUCCGGUGUAGCGGUGAAAUGCGUAGAUAUCGGAAGGAACACCAAUGGCGAAGGCAGCUUCCUGGCCCAAUACUGACGCUCAGGUGCGAAAGCGUGGGGAGCAAACAGG